Long non-coding RNA from Thunnus maccoyii (southern bluefin tuna), 2733 nucleotides. RefSeq lists it as uncharacterized. The record is from RefSeq and is a predicted model, not a curated record. The transcript is spliced from 4 exons. Lineage: Eukaryota; Metazoa; Chordata; Actinopteri; Scombriformes; Scombridae.
AUGAUUUGUUCACACUUGCAUGUUUUUUUUUACGUAACAAUAUUAUUUAUGUCAGUAAUUUAAAUAUCAAUUAUAAUAAACUUAUACAUAUUUUAAACAAAUCUCUCCAAUUGUGAUUUGUCCUAGGCCCAUCAAUUUGAAAUUAAUUGGCAAUAAUCAAACCAUUCUAAAAACAAUUAAAAGUAAGUUCAUUAUGCAGUUCAAGUAAGAGCAAUGUCAAUAAAGUUAAAUGUUAUGCAUGAAAACCAAGUCUAUAUACCAAUCAUUUGGUCUGUAAGUCUAUAAAUUGUGGUAAGGUGACAUCUUUUCUUUUUGUCCAAGAUAAGAUAUUCAGUUUGCAAUGAUAUAAAUCAGGGACAAUUUAAGACAUUUCUGUUGAUGAUACAUUUUCUAACCAUCGUCUAAUCAAUUAAUCGACUCAUUGUUUCACCACUAGGGACUCGCGGUGAUACUACAGUUGGUAUUAUUGCUGCUGUUUCUCUCUUUGGGACAUGUUUCUGCGGUUGCUUGAAGAAAUGCUGUGGGGAGAGCUCCUCCAGAGAGGACGAUUCUGAGACUGAAGCGGCUGCUGCAUCUGCACCUGAGUAUGAGGCUGUUGGACCGAGGUCAGAUGAAUUGAGUCAGCCCUCUGGGACACACUACCCCGCUCAGCCUUCUUAUACUCCGACUGGUCCACUGGUACACGAUCCUACUGGCGAUGCGCCACCUUCUUAUUCUGAGGUUGUGGCUUCAGCAGAGCAGGCAGUCGUUCCAUCUGCCCCCGUCUACUCAGACGUUGAGCCGCAGUUUGAACUCAAGGGGAUGACCUUUCCCUCAGACUCAGCCAAUGUUUAUACCUCAGACAAACUCAACUUCCUCUGAAGGCCUUAAUUUUGAUGGGUAUCCUUGUUGUAAUAUUUGGUGCUUGCAUUAUACAUUCUAGUGUGGAUUAUGUAUGAUGAGUUGUAGAUGUUACAUUGAUAUAUACUGUAGCUAUUUCAGAAACAUGUUCAUUUACUCAGGCAAGUCACACACAUUUCUAAAUGUUUUAAAGAGAGUGAUUGUUUGACAUCUACCAAAAAUAUGAAAUGCACCAGUUGCCUUUUCGCCCUGCAUGUAUCCACUGGAGAGUGGCAACAACGCCUUAACACCGCUGCACUGCGGUCAGUUAACGUAAUUGUGUCAAUACAUUUUCUGUUAUUACACUUUUACUUUUACACACAAGCAGUAAACUGGCUACAGUUGCAAUGUGCCUAUUUUGUAUGUGUCUCCAUUUUAUCAGUCACUCUCACAUGUACACUUCCCUCUUUUUGGAUUGAUUAUUUGAUUAUUUAUUUAAGUAGAUGUUUUUAAUAUAUUUGUUUUAAUGUUUUGGAACUCAUGUUAGAGUUUAUGACUGUUGUGUAAAUAAGGAGUUUCGUUGGUUUUCUGUUGAAACACUAACAAACCUUUAUCAUUUUUAUUAGUCAGAUAAAACAGCAAAGGAGAAGGGAUUGCAGCCAUUUUCUCUACACAGUUUGUGUAUAAUGACAUUGACCUGAGUGAAUUUACAUCGUUUGAAUAUCUUGCUCUUGAGCUCAAAGCAGAAUUAUUAGUAUUCACUAUUACAUUAUAUCGGCCACCAAGAUAUUCAUCACUAUUUCUACAGGAAUUCUGAGAGCUGAUCUCACUUAGUAUCAAUAGACAUGAUCGAUUAAUCCUGAAUGGAGACCUGAAUAUUCAUAUUAAUAAAAAGAAUGACUCCAAAGCUGUGGAGCUUGUGAAUUUACUGAACAGCUUUGAACUCACCUAACAUGUAAAUAAAGCCACUCAUUAGCAUGGUAACACUCUAGACUUAGUAACAACAACAGGUUUAAACAUUGAUAGUGUUUCAGUAUUACCUCUUUCUGACCAUCACUGUGUGUUUUUUGAUGCCAACUUAACCUUAACAAAGACUAAAAGGGAAUUUUUGGUUCAAAAGAGAUUCCUAGAUGACAAAGCUGAAAUAAUAUUUUCUAAUGUUAUGAGAUCAUUUGACCCAUUCAGUGAAGACUGCUCUUUAAAUGACAUGGUUGAAUAUUUUAACAACACCUUGUCAUCUGCUUUAAAACUGCUGCUCCACUAAAGGUUAAAAAGGGGUCGACCGACAGAAUCUCCCCAUUGUUAAACAAUAACAGUGUUAAUGAGAUCGAGAGAAUCUGUUGGGCUGCUGAAAGAAAAUGGAGACUCACAGUUCACUUUAAUAUACAAGAAGCCAUGGGUGCUUAUAACAAAGCAAUACAUCCGGCAAAAGAAGAUUACUUUUCCAAGAUUAUUACAAAGGAUGCUGGGAACUCACCUACUCAACACUGCCCCCGAUCCCCCACAGUUCUCUGCAUCAAAAUGUGAAGAACUUGCAUUGUUCUUCCAUAACAAAAUAACCUCAAUUAGAGACAGUAUUGCUGCUGAUGUGAACACAGAUGAUCUCAUUAAAUCCUGUAAAAAUGAUGCAACCAUGGGAAAAUUCACCUGUAUUACACUAACUGAGCUUUGCAAGACUGUCACUGAAUGUAACUCCUCCUCCUCAUGUAUUGACCCUGUACCUACAGCUUUUUAAAAGUGGAUGUUCGAUAGUAUUUCAAGUUAUGUCCUGAUACAGGCCUGAAAUUAUUUUUUGCACUCUGUUUUGCAUUUAUGCACUGCUACACUUCUUUUAAAAUGUUGAAUUUUACUUGAUUUCAUGCUCUAUAUGUAUACUAUUUAUAAACUUUUAAAAAAUAUAUUAUUAUAGCUUUU